CGGGGAGUAGCGCAGUCUGGUAGCGCAUCUGGUUUGGGACCAGAGGGUCGGAGGUUCGAAUCCUCUCUCCCCGACCA
RNAcentral lists this transfer RNA (77 nucleotides) under Pseudomonadota bacterium. Its description in RNAcentral is "Proteobacteria bacterium (hot springs metagenome) tRNA-Pro". It matches the Rfam family "tRNA". Rfam says of the family: Transfer RNA (tRNA) molecules are approximately 80 nucleotides in length. Their secondary structure includes four short double-helical elements and three loops (D, anti-codon, and T loops). The record is from RNAcentral. Lineage: Bacteria; Pseudomonadati; Pseudomonadota.